CUUGGUCAUUUAGAGGAAGUAAAAAGUUGUACCUAGUUUUCCGUAGUUGAACUUGCGGAAGGAUCAUAUUGAAAUUAUAGGCAAAGGUUGUAGCUGGCCUCUCGGGGCAUGUGCACGCCUGAGCCCCUUAAUCCACACACACCUGUGAACCAAUUGUAAGAGCCCCCUGAAAAGGGCCUUUACGUCUUAUUCAUCAACCCAUUGCAUGUCUCAGAAUGUAAACAUAUGUCCUCGCCUUAAAAAGCGUUGAUAAACUUAUACAACUUUCAACAACGGAUCUCUUGGCUCUCGCAUCGAUGAAGAACGCAGCGAAAUGCGAUAAGUAAUGUGAAUUGCAGAUUUUCAGUGAAUCAUCGAAUCUUUGAACGCACCUUGCGCUCCUUGGUAUUCCGAGGAGCAUGCCUGUUUGAGUGUCAUUAAAUUCUCAACUCCGAUCGAUUUGUUUCGACCUCGGAGCUUGGACUUUGGAGCGUGCUGGCGUCGGUCGGCUCCUCUCAAAUGCAUCAGCGGAAUCUAACGUUUCGGACGUUCAGUGUGAUAAUCACGUUGCGCUGUCAACCGAUCCUGAAAGGCCCGCUCAUAAUGGUCUUCGGACAACUUCAUAUCAAAUUUGACCUCAAAUCAGGUAGGACUACCCGCUGAACUUAAGCAUAUCAAUAAGCGGAGGA
This 668-nucleotide ribosomal RNA is filed under the name uncultured Piloderma. RNAcentral describes it as "eukaryotic LSU rRNA". The stretch from base 262 to 416 matches the Rfam family "5.8S ribosomal RNA". Lineage: Eukaryota; Fungi; Basidiomycota; Agaricomycetes; Atheliales; Atheliaceae. The record is from RNAcentral.